This 512-nucleotide ribosomal RNA is filed under the name Shigella flexneri. RNAcentral describes it as "bacterial SSU rRNA". It matches the Rfam family "Bacterial small subunit ribosomal RNA", at positions 910 to 1422 of the family's 1533-position model. The record is from RNAcentral. Lineage: Bacteria; Pseudomonadati; Pseudomonadota; Gammaproteobacteria; Enterobacterales; Enterobacteriaceae.
UUGACGGGGGCCCGCACAAGCGGUGGAGCAUGUGGUUUAAUUCGAUGCAACGCGAAGAACCUUACCUGGUCUUGACAUCCACGGAAGUUUUCAGAGAUGAGAAUGUGCCUUCGGGAACCGUGAGACAGGUGCUGCAUGGCUGUCGUCAGCUCGUGUUGUGAAAUGUUGGGUUAAGUCCCGCAACGAGCGCAACCCUUAUCCUUUGUUGCCAGCGGUCCGGCCGGGAACUCAAAGGAGACUGCCAGUGAUAAACUGGAGGAAGGUGGGGAUGACGUCAAGUCAUCAUGGCCCUUACGACCAGGGCUACACACGUGCUACAAUGGCGCAUACAAAGAGAAGCGACCUCGCGAGAGCAAGCGGACCUCAUAAAGUGCGUCGUAGUCCGGAUUGGAGUCUGCAACUCGACUCCAUGAAGUCGGAAUCGCUAGUAAUCGUGGAUCAGAAUGCCACGGUGAAUACGUUCCCGGGCCUUGUACACACCGCCCGUCACACCAUGGGAGUGGGUUGCAAAA